CCCUUAGAUGUUCUGGGCUGCACGCGCGCUACACUGAAGCUAUCAACACGUUUUCCCUCCCUGAGAAGGGCGGGUAACCUUUUGAAUCAGCUUCGUGGUAGGGAUCGGGGCUUGCAAUUGUUCCCCGUGAACCAGGAAUUCCUAGUAGACGCGAGUCAUAAGCUCGCAUCGAUUAAGUCCCUGCCCUUUGUACACACCGCCCGUCGCUACUACCGAUUGAACGUUUUAGUGAGGCAUUUGGACCGACGCAUCGCAGUUUAACCGCUGGUUUGUGUUGGAAAGACUUCCAAACUUGAGCGUUUAGAGGAAGUAAAAGUCGUAACA
Molecule: ribosomal RNA, 324 nt
Filed under: uncultured eukaryote
Lineage: Eukaryota
Description: partial 18S ribosomal RNA
Rfam family: Eukaryotic small subunit ribosomal RNA
Source: RNAcentral